This 501-nucleotide ribosomal RNA is filed under the name uncultured bacterium. Its description in RNAcentral is "partial 16S ribosomal RNA". It matches the Rfam family "Bacterial small subunit ribosomal RNA", at positions 30 to 523 of the family's 1533-position model. The record is from RNAcentral.
AUUGAACGCUGGCGGCAGGCUUAACACAUGCAAGUCGAGCGGGGGAAGGUAGCUUGCUACCGGACCUAGCGGCGGACGGGUGAGUAAUGCUUAGGAAUCUGCCUAUUAGUGGGGGACAACAUCUCGAAAGGGAUGCUAAUACCGCAUACGUCCUACGGGAGAAAGCAGGGGAUCUUCGGACCUUGCGCUAAAUGAUGAGCCUAAGUCGGAUUAGCUAGUUGGUGGGGUAAAGGCCUACCAAGGCGACGAUCUGUAGCGGGUCUGAGAGGAUGAUCCGCCACACUGGGACUGAGACACGGCCCAGACUCCUACGGGAGGCAGCAGUGGGGAAUAUUGGACAAUGGGCGGAAGCCUGAUCCAGCCAUGCCGCGUGUGUGAAGAAGGCCUUAUGGUUGUAAGGCACUUUAAGCGAGGAGGAGGCUACUUAGAUUAAUACUCUAGGAUAGUGGACGUUACUCGCAGAAUAAGCACCGGCUAACUCUGUGCCAGCCGCCGCCGUAA